RNAcentral lists this ribosomal RNA (457 nucleotides) under uncultured bacterium. RNAcentral's name for it is "bacterial SSU rRNA". It matches the Rfam family "Bacterial small subunit ribosomal RNA", at positions 29 to 534 of the family's 1533-position model. The record is from RNAcentral.
AACGAACGCUGGCGGCAGGCUUAACACAUGCAAGUCGAACGCCCCGCAAGGGGAGUGGCAGACGGGUGAGUAACGCGUGGGAAUCUACCCAGUUCUACGGAACAACACAGGGAAACUUGUGCUAAUACCGUAUACGCCUACGGGGAAGGAUUAUCGGAAUUGGAUGAGCCCGCGUUGGAUUAGCUAGUUGGUGAGGUAACGGCUCACCAAGGCGACGAUCCAUAGCUGGUCUGAGAGGAUGAUCAGCCACACUGGGACUGAGACACGGCCCAGACUCCUACGGGAGGCAGCAGUGGGGGAAUAUUGGACAAUGGGCGCAAGCCUGAUCCAGCCAUGCCGCGUGAGUGAUGAAGGCCUUAGGGUUGUAAAGACUCUUUCAGGGGGGAAGGAUAAUGACUGUACCCCAGAAGAAGCCCCGGCUAACUCCGUGCCAGCAGCCGCGGUAAAGUAGUCGUGG